UUCGCCCUUAGAGUUUGAUCCUGGCUCAGGACGAACGCUGGCGGCGCGCCUAACACAUGCAAGUCGAACGAGCGAGAGGAGGUUUACUUUCUCAAGCGAGUGGCGAACGGGUGAGUAACGCGUGAGGAACCUGCCUCAAAGAGGGGGACAACAGUUGGAAACGACUGCUAAUACCGCAUAAGCCCACGACCCGGCAUCGGGUAGAGGGAAAAGGAGCAAUCCGCUUUGAGAUGGCCUCGCGUCCGAUUAGCUAGUUGGUGAGGUAAUGGCCCACCAAGGCGACGAUCGGUAGCCGGACUGAGAGGUUGAACGGCCACAUUGGGACUGAGACACGGCCCAGACUCCUACGGGAGGCAGCAGUGGGGAAUAUUGCACAAUGGGGGAAACCCUGAUGCAGCGACGCCGCGUGGAGGAAGAAGGUCUUCGGAUUGUAAACUCCUGUUGUUGAGGAAGAUAAUGACGGUACUCAACAAGGAAGUGACGGCUAACUACGUGCCAGCAGCCGCGGUAAAACGUAGGUCACAAGCGUUGUCCGGAAUUACUGGGUGUAAAGGGAGCGCAGGCGGGAAGACAAGUUGGAAGUGAAAUCCAUGGGCUCAACCCAUGAACUGCUUUCAAAACUGUUUUUUCUUGAGUAGUGCAGAGGUAGGCGGAAUUCCCGGUGUAGCGGUGGAAUGCGUAGAUAUCGGGAGGAACACCAGUGGCGAAGGGCGGCCUACUGGGCACCAACUGACGCUGAGGCUCGAAAGUGUGGGUAGCAAACAGGAUUAGAUACCCUGGUAGUCCACACUGUAAACGAUGAUUACUAGGUGUUGGAGGAUUGACCCCUUCAGUGCCGCAGUUAACACAAUAAGUAAUCCACCUGGGGAGUACGACCGCAAGGUUGAAACUCAAAGGAAUUGACGGGGGCCCGCACAAGCAGUGGAGUAUGUGGUUUAAUUCGACGCAACGCGAAGAACCUUACCAAGUCUUGACAUCCUGCGACGGACAUAGAAAUAUGUUUUUCCUUCGGGACGCAGAGACAGGUGGUGCAUGGUUGUCGUCAGCUCGUGUCGUGAGAUGUUGGGUUAAGUCCCGCAACGAGCGCAACCCUUAUGGUCAGUUACUACGCAAGAGGACUCUGGCCAGACUGCCGUUGACAAAACGGAGGAAGGUGGGGAUGACGUCAAAUCAUCAUGCCCUUUAUGACUUGGGCUACACACGUACUACAAUGGCGUUAAACAAAGAGAAGCAAGACCGCGAGGUGGAGCAAAACUCAGAAACAACGUCCCAGUUCGGACUGCAGGCUGCAACUCGCCUGCACGAAGUCGGAAUUGCUAGUAAUCGCAGAUCAGCAUGCUGCGGUGAAUACGUUCCCGGGCCUUGCACACACCGCCCGUCA
RNAcentral lists this ribosomal RNA (1381 nucleotides) under uncultured bacterium. RNAcentral describes it as "16S ribosomal RNA". It matches the Rfam family "Bacterial small subunit ribosomal RNA". The record is from RNAcentral.